This 600-nucleotide ribosomal RNA is filed under the name Papiliotrema flavescens. RNAcentral's name for it is "eukaryotic LSU rRNA". It matches the Rfam family "Eukaryotic large subunit ribosomal RNA", at positions 50 to 639 of the family's 3401-position model. The record is from RNAcentral. Lineage: Eukaryota; Fungi; Basidiomycota; Tremellomycetes; Tremellales; Rhynchogastremaceae.
GCGGAGGAAAAGAAACUAACAAGGAUUCCCCUAGUAACGGCGAGUGAACCGGGAAGAGCUCAAAUUUGAAAUCUGGCGUGCUCAGUGCGUCCGAGUUGUAAUCUAUAGAGUCGUUUUCCGUGCCGGACUGUGUCCAAGUCCCUUGGAACAGGGUAUCAAAGAGGGUGAUAAUCCCGUACUUGACACAAUGACCGGUGCUCUGUGAUACGUCUUCUACGAGUCGAGUUGUUUGGGAAUGCAGCUCAAAAUGGGUGGUGAGUUCCAUCUAAAGCUAAAUAUUGGCGAGAGACCGAUAGCGAACAAGUACCGUGAGGGAAAGAUGAAAAGCACUUUGGAAAGAGAGUUAAACAGUACGUGAAAUUGUUAAAAGGGAAACGAUUGAAGUCAGUCGUGACUGAGAGGCUCAGCCGGUUCUGCCGGUGUAUUCCCCUCAGUCGGGUCAACAUCAGUUUUGUUCGGUGGAUAAGGGCAGUUGGAAGGUGGCACCCUCGGGUGUGUUAUAGCCAGCUGUCGCAUACAUCGGAUGAGACUGAGGAAUGCAGCUCGCCUUUAUGGCCGGGGUUCGCCCACGUUCGAGCUUAGGAUGUUGACAUAAUGGCU